UAGUGCCUGUAAAACAGCAUCUAUUAAGGAAAUGAUAAUACAAACAGGCAGGACAUGCAGCUGCAUCAGAAGGGUUAACUGUCUGGGUCCAGGAGAGUGAGAAGUGUGAUCCGUGUGCGUGUGCAUGUGUGUGUGUUGGAGGGGUGUCAGUAAGUGCAGCUCCAUAAUGUCAGUCUUGAAGUGUGAACAUGUUUGAAGGCAGCAGUGAGGGAGAGGGAGGAGGAGAUAGCGAAGGAGGGCAUGUGAGAGAGGAGUGGAGGAGGGGUGUCUGGUAGACAGAGAAAAGGAAGGAGGGAGAGAGAAAGAGAGGGGGGAGGAGAGACAAGCCGAGUGUGCACAAUAUUCAUUCAAACUGACAGAGGCUGUGUGUGUCCUGGUUUGCACUUCCCAUUGCUCUUCGGUCUCUCUCGACCUCGCUCUCUCUCUCUCUCUUUCGCUCUCCUCUCUCUCUCUCUCGCUCCCUCUCUUUCUCUCUCUCCAGACAGUCUGCAGUUUACAGCAGCAGAAAGGAGACACCGGAGAGCCACUGGAGAGGAAGAAAGAAAGGAGGAAGAUUGUGAAAAAUGACAAGGAGAAGGAGCUGGAGGAAGCAAAACAGGGAGAAGGGAGGAAGUGAUGAAAAGUAGGGAUUUGAAGAAGAGUAAAAGAUGAGAGCAGAGGAUGAAAGAAAGAGAGAGAGAGUGGUGGCUUGGCUUUUCAAUGGGAGGGGUAAAAAAAAAAAAAAAAGGAGAUAUAGAGACGGAGGAAUGCAGAGAAAGAGGGACGGCGACACUACUGCUGAAGAGGAUGUUGGGAUGCAAUGCCAAGGAGGAACGCCCAAAGAGGCAGAGGAAGAGCGCAGAGUUCAGCAUGGAAACGGACGUAGUGAAGAACAGCGAGGUGGCAUGCUUACACAAAAGUAGUGAGAUGCAGACUUGGUCACACAUCCAGCAGCAAGCGGGGGGGAAGGGCCGUCACCAUUUCUGCGGCUCAGAUUAAUGGCAGCUAUGGAGAAAACAUCUGACAACUGUGCCUUUCCAUUAGCGGAGCUAUUGGAUAAUUAUGCAGGUAACGAAUAAACUAAAUGUGCCAAAGUGUGUCCUUGUGUGUAAACUGUAUCUGUGUUGGUGGAAUCAGCUGGCCUGUAGCACUGUGCUCAAAUUAAUUUAAUCUGAACCCCAUCUGAAAACCCCAUCAGUCGCAGUCUAAAUCAGAUCUGAAGUGCUGAGUUUUCUGUGUAGGAAAUGGAUAAAUCAUUAACAUACUGACUGGUUUCUUCUGUUGAUAAAUUCGUUAGAGAAAAAAAACAAAUUUUCCUUUGUUUAACUUGCUUGCACAUGGUAUUUUAUACUAUAAUGGUACAUGUCAUGGUAUUGCUGUACAAUGGCACAAUGCUACAGUACCAUGGUACCAUGCCAUAUUACUAUGCGAUUGUACCAUCAUCAUUGUAGUGACCAAAACACCCUGCCAGUCUUUUAUGGCAUUAUCAUGGUCCUUUUUUUGUAAAUGAAGGCAGAUGCAGAAACUACACUGACCAAUUCAAACUAGUGGAACAGAAACUGACCUAACAUUUCAGCUCUAUAGCUCCACCUGGAAAAUGUUAGUGUGCAGUUAGUUUUGCAUCAACAUACCGACCUUCCAGGUUGUCUACAACUGUUAUUACUGAGUCCUCUUUUUCUUAGGUUUUCCUGUUCAUUUUCUAUGAGUUUUUAUGUCGUUAUAGCAGGCUAGCUACAGUGCAUUUACUCAUUUAUAUACACUCACCGAGCACUUUAUUAGGAACAGCUAUGCACCUGCUUAUUCCUGAAAUUAUCCAACCAGCCAAUCAUGUCAGCAUGCCAGACAGCUGGUGUGAGUAUUUCUGUUGCUGAUCUCCUGGGACGUUCAUGCUCAUCGGUCUCUAGAGUUUUUCUCUCAGAGUGGAGCCAAAACCAAAAACCAUCCAGACAGAAAGGCUACGGUCACUCAGAUAACCACUCAGACACAACUGUAGUGAGCAGAAAAGCAUCAGCGUGACCAACAUGUCCAACCUUGAGGUAGAUGGACUACAACAGCAGAAGACCAAGUCAGGUUCCACCUUCUGUCACCAAGAACAGAAACUGUAAGAACGUAGCUGGUUCUGAUAACUCUGAUUGUCUGCUGAGGCAGCAGGGGCAUGAGCAGUCCAGGAUGCUACUGCUGGUGUAAUGGUGCCCUUUGGGCCCCUUAGUAUCAACCAAACAUGGUCUGAAUGCUGCAGUCUAUCUGAGUAUUGUAGCUGACCAUGUCAGACCACAGUAAUUGCUACUUCCAGCAGUAUAAUGCUCCAUGUCUCAAAGCUAAAGUCAUCUCAAACCGUUUUCAUCAACAUGACACUGAGUUCAGUGACCUUCAGUGACCUCCCCAAGUCUACAAAUGUGAAUCCAGUGGAACACCUUUGGGCUGUGGUAGAGCAGGAUAUUGGCAGCAUGAAUGUGCACGUGUCACGUCAAAAUGCAGCGGUCUCAGAGGAAAGUUUCAACAUCUGGUGGAAUCAAUGACAAGAAGAACUGAGGCUGUUUGAGAGCAAAGGGAGGAAGUACCCAAUGUCAGUGUGGUGUUCCUAAUAAAGUGCUCAGUGAAUGUUUAACGUAUAUAUGCCAGUAGUUGAGUGAUAAUUGGUUCAGAUCAUUAUCUCAAAAGUUCAUCUUGACCUAAUAAAUGAUAUUGUUGUGGUGCUCAUGUCUAUUUUUCAGACUGAUAAUUUAAUUGUUAUGUUUCAGAGAUGUUUUUGAUAUCACUUGAAAUCAUGUGACUUAAAGGUCAUAGGUUCUUAGGUUGUUUUUAAGUCUCAAAUAAUACAUAUUAAAAUAUAUAUUAAAGCAGUUUGUGGUUGCUGUAAUCCUUCCUCCUCUCCACACUGGCUGGUGUGUGAUCUCUGCUUAGCGCAACCCCAGUGUAGGAGAGGGAGGACAAAGCAGCUAAAAUGGAAACAGAUUUGGCUGUUCCACACCACAUACACCACACUGGCCUCUUCCUACGUUUUAUUAAAAGCUUGAUGUCUGCAUUAACCGUCUGUUUCACACAUCGGGAUAGCUGCUUCCUCAUCAACGGUUCCUCUGGGAAAAUCCACACGUCACAGUCCUCCACCGCUGCAGGUUCCCGGUUCACAUUCAUCGCUGUCGGUGGGUUGGUGAUGCUGUCAACUCGCCGGUCGAUGAAUGACAACCGUGUCCGUGCGUGGCCACGCUUCCUGGCGUCUUGCCUUCAUCAUCUGUAUUGGCUGUUUGCAUCUGCCCAGUUAAUGGGUUGUUUGUGUUUUUUUCAACAUGGAAUAUCUUGUCAAAGAGACAAAUAAAGAAUCUGGAACAACAUCCUGUAAUUGUUGUGUACUGUGUGUUACAGUGGUAAGAAAAAGUACGUUUUCUGCAUCAUACAACAUGAUUUGGUCCGAGCCAUACUUUACCUAGUGAGCAAAAUGAAACUUCUGGCCCAACAUAUGCCUGGAUCCUCGGCCUGAGUCUGGCACAUAUACGUCCCUAUCUGAGUCUGGCUGUUAUCCUCUGAUGCUGACUGACGGCCAGAUGAUUUUCUGUGUGUGCGCCAGAAUUGGUCAAACUGUGGAAGCAGCAUCUUAAAAUCAUGUUGUAUAUGGGCCGGUUUUGGCCCGUGGAACCGGGUGUAUAGUGGGUCAGAGGAAAACAAACCUGUGGCCCAAGUAUGGGCUGGAUUGAAUCUGCGAUCUGGGUUAGGAUGGUGUGAAUGUCUCUCUUUUGAAAUCCUUCCACAGCAUCUCUACAGCGUUACAGUCUGGGCUAGGAUCGAACCAAAAGGUGCAUUUUCCUUCUUUGAAGCCAUUCUGUUAUAAAUGUACUUCACUGUUUAGGGUCAUUGUCCUGCGGUAUCACCAGCUUCUACUGAGCUUCAGCAGGUGGACAAACACCCUGACAUUAUCCUGGAAGCAUCCUGACACCAUGAUAAACUGGGGAAUUCAUUUUCUCCUCCAUGAUGGCAGUGUUGUCGUGCUGGUAUGUGAGGUGCUGUGUGUCCUUCCCAAACAACUUAACCUUCUCCCAGUUGUGGAGUUUUGUUUUGUCACUUUUUUUUCUUCAAUGAGCGGCCUGUGGUUUUGGUGCUG
Long non-coding RNA from Seriola aureovittata, 4075 nucleotides. RefSeq lists it as uncharacterized. The record is from RefSeq and is a predicted model, not a curated record. The transcript has 4 exons. NCBI's taxonomy places the organism in Eukaryota, Metazoa, Chordata, Actinopteri, Carangiformes, Carangidae.